CAAGAAUUUACAGCUUUGGUUCGUAACACAAGAAAGACGUGGGUCAUAUUCCCAAAAUCUGAAUAGAGCGGCCUCAUCAGAGGAUCAUGUUUUUUCUCGGGAAUGUCCAAUUUGGCUUCAACUUUCGGAAAAUGUACUUUCCUCCAAAAUUUUCUAAAUCGAGCUUGUUCUACCCACACUCAUCUUUUGCGUGGCGGUUUGCGACCAUCCCAAAUCAAUUCAGCAAGUGACUUGACGCCAGGCGCCCAAGGCGCCAGUCCUACACCGCUUUUAGAUUUCCACGGGCCUAUUGCGACUUAGGAAUUUAAUCGGAAUAUUUCAUUUAGUUUUGCAACGUCGCCAGUGAACGGAAAACUCGGAGAGUAUAUAUGAACCUGUCGGAACAACCGAUGACUCCCGUCAGCCUCCGACAAGGCACUAUAUAACGUAGUCCUGAACAAUGUGCUCCUCGUUUGCAGAGCUUUAAUGCGAGACCUUUUGAUUGUGAAGCAUGUGAAUUGUGACAGUGCUGAGUGUCAUGUCGGUUCUUAAGAGCGUGUGUAUUUUGUUUUUCGGGACUAUAAUACAGGUUGCCAUUAUCUCGGCAAUCGACGCAAGCCAUGGACACGCAAUACAAAUCUACAUCGGCGAGAAAACUUACGGUGGUGACCAAGAGGGCGAAAUCAGCUCUCUCCAAACGCGGGAACCAAUCGUUUUGGCCAUCACGGUAGCCUCUUUGGUAAUGUCGAAUCUGCACAACAUACAACCGGCUCUGACAGCCAUCCGGGAUGUCAUGCGUCUCCUGAACCCUGUGGCCACUGCCAGCACCCGCCUGGAGAACGGUGGUCAGAGACGCAACGAUGGCACGAUCUUCUGGCAGGGAAGGCUCCUCGAGUUCAACACUGACGAAGGGGUCCACGUGUUUGUCAUCAGUCCGGAAAAAUCGCUGGAAAUCGUCACUUCAGGCAAGAGAGUCCUUCUGAACGAUUAUCCUGUCUGCCAGAACACGGAUCAGUUGGGCGAGCCGCAAUAUCGGAAAUUGAAACUGCAGGAUGAGAAGGUGGAAACUACAUUUUAUACGUCUUGGUGGUAUACGAACCUCAGAGUAGGCGACCCGAUGACGGAAGAGGAGGUGGCGCAAUUCAUGAAUCUCCAAAAAGAGGUGCAGAUUGAGAGGGAGAAGGCGGUCAAUGAUAUCAUUGCCGUGGCUCGAGAAAGUAUCGCCAAGGCUGCAAGAAUUGGAUUGAAGUUGGUAGACGUCCCGGCUCAAAUGACGAUGGAAGCGGUGCAAGGUGCGGUGCAAGGUGUGGUGGCAGCCCCUCGGAUGGUGGUCAGCGCGGCCGGUGCGGUGGGCAAGAGCGUGAGCCAAGGGUGGAAAAGCGCCGUCACUUUCUCGAAAGACAGCCUCAGCCGAGAAUCCGGUGGGACCGCCGGCCUAUCGGGCAUGAUCAACUCCAGACUCUGGGGGCCCAUGCCUGAGGGGCAACAGCCCCCGACGUCGCCUCUUCCUAGGACGGACAGUCAGAGCUCGCCGACCGCCGAAGAAGUCAACGCCAUGAUACACAAGUCCAACAGCGGACGCAUGGAUGGGCUCAACAGAUGGCUUUUCGGAUCCCCGCCGAGAGGAGCUCCGCAGAAAGCCCCCAGCUCCGGGUUCAAGUUGAGCGGCUUCGGCAAGAAGGGUUUCAACAAACUUUUCUCGCGCAAGGGUUCCAGCUCCGGAUGA
RNAcentral lists this long non-coding RNA (1705 nucleotides) under Bemisia tabaci. RNAcentral's name for it is "lncRNA ENSSSA1NGG005389". Lineage: Eukaryota; Metazoa; Arthropoda; Insecta; Hemiptera; Aleyrodidae. The record is from RNAcentral.